GAUGAAGAACGUAGCGAAAUGCGAUAAGUAGUGUGAAUUGCAGAAUUCAGUGAAUCAUCGAAUCUUUGAACGCACAUUGCGCCUUCUAGUAUUCUGGGAGGCAUGCCUGUUUGAGCGUCAUUAAACCUCUCUCAAGUAUGAUUACUUGGAUGUGAAGGAAGAGUACCUUAAACUUAAGGAGUGUUCUCCUUUGAAAUUGAUUAGCAGAUGGUAAUGUUAUUAAAUCCCUGAUGUUGUAAGAAAUAACAGUGGUUUUGUAGACUAUUAUCUAGCUUUAAAUUAUAAUUUUUAUUAUGGUUGACCUCAAAGCAGGUAAGGAUACCCGCUGAACUUAAGCAUAUCAAUAAGCGGAGGA
Molecule: unclassified non-coding RNA, 355 nt
Filed under: soil metagenome
Description: partial contains 5.8S ribosomal RNA, internal transcribed spacer 2, and large subunit ribosomal RNA
Rfam family: 5.8S ribosomal RNA (bases 1-120)
Source: RNAcentral